UAAGUUCCUUCACUGAACAGUGAGUGAUUUCACUAAGUCCACAGAUAUUUACUGAUCAUCUACUGUAUGUGCUAGAUGCUGUGCCAGGAGCUGGCAAUAAGAUAAUGAACAAAACAAAAACCCAUGUCCUCCUGGAGCUUUGACUCUAUGGAAUGCCCGAACUGGGAUGCAGUACUCUCGCCAGGGCCACGUGUCCUCCUAGGUGAGCAAAAGGCGCGUGAGGUGCCGCCCUGGGACCAGUCGGCGGGUGGACUUCGUCCUGGGCGGGAGGAGAGGGCCGCACCUCGGACAAACGCUUGGCUGGGCACGUCGCCUGGGGCAGGAGCUGACACCCGCCCGCCAAGCCCUCUCCAGACGGCAGCAGAUCCUGGCGGGGAGAAGAGCCCCGAGAGGCAAAUUCCAGCGGGUUUGUUUACACAGCGCGGGGGAGGGGGCCGAGCCGGGUACUGGGGCCCGACUGACUGGGAGCCCCAGCUCAGACUGGGCCAGCACCAGCUGUGCAGCCUGAGGACUGCGCACAAACACCCCUCCGCUCCACCCCACCCCCGCUGCACGCCGGUACGCGUCUCCCCUCCUCUUCACACGCUGUUCACAAACAUUAGCAUACGUCUGUCAAAGAGUUUCACACGCUUCCACACACGCGGCUGUGAUACUACUCACAAAUGCUUUCACACUAGCGCGCCAUCACACGUAUUUCAUGUGUGGUUACAGUUUAAAUCACCCUUCAUUCCCAGAUUCUCACAGUCCAUAUUCAAGAGCCCGUUUGCACGGUGUACGCGUGUGUUGUCACACAUACUCAGGUCAUCAGUGCCCUUUAACGUAUCUAAAAUAAGAACGGACCCCUCUCGAGCCCAGGGUCCCGCGUGUCGCUCCUGCGCGCAGGCACUGAUGGGAUGGACAGAGGCGCCCUUAGCCCCGGCCGCACACGUUACACAGUCGAUCACACACAGCGUUGCACUUUAUUCCCGGCAUCUAGGCGAUGACACAAUCUCCAGAACAAAGACAACAUUGACAAACCCAACAAAAACAAACAGCCGCGUGUGUGUGGGGAGGGGCAGUCGAGCGCAGAGUCCGGGAAGGGAAUGGGGGAGGAGGAGAGGGUGGGAACGCCGGCGCCCGAGCCUGGGCAUGCGAGGCUCGGAAAGGUACGGGGCAUGUCAACAACCUCGCACCCUGCAAGGUCCGCGCGCGGAGCAGCAAAGCCAGGUCCUGCACCCUCGCGUUCGCAGACUGGCACUUGCGACUUCUUCCCUUCUCCCGCACGCGACUGCGCCGAGGGACGCAAGCCCACCACCCGGACAGGCUUACAAAGCUCCACGCAGACCCACAAGUGAGCGAACACACAGCUCUGAGCAGAUCUGCCGGGGCAGAGGAGCGCGCUUCGCUCUUUCCUGCACCCCUAGCCUCCUCGCCUACCCAGCCCGCCCCUCCUCCACCUCCCCAGCCCCCAAGCCCCGGGGCAGCCGCGCGCCGGGCGGGGCGAGGGCGGGGCGGGGUGUCGGGCGGCGCCGGCCCAAAAGGCGGAGUCGCAAGGCGAAGGGGCCAGAUCUGUGA
Rhinopithecus bieti (black snub-nosed monkey) is the source of this 1554-nucleotide long non-coding RNA. NCBI's taxonomy places the organism in Eukaryota, Metazoa, Chordata, Mammalia, Primates, Cercopithecidae. The record is from Ensembl.